Molecule: long non-coding RNA, 584 nt
Organism: Sceloporus undulatus (fence lizard)
Lineage: Eukaryota; Metazoa; Chordata; Lepidosauria; Squamata; Phrynosomatidae
Exons: 3
Source: RefSeq, a predicted model, not a curated record
GAAAGUUUGCUUUCACUUUCCUCUUUCCAAGCGGACUUGUUUGACCCAUUCUCUCUCCCUCCGAUUGGCUGAGAAGAUAAGAUCCAGCUGUGCUAUGGAAACUAUUGUUUCCAAGAAGGAAGUUGGCCUGGUUUUAAAUUGUUUUGCAGAGUCAAAGAAUCAAGCCUGUCUUGCAGCUGUGAAAAAAUCCCUAUUGGUUCUGGAAACGUCCUUUUCUUGGACCUGGAAAGAAGAGAAAAAGAGCUUCCGCGUCACUAGGAUUAAGUGUGAAUGGAGUCCCCCUCUCUCUGGCUUUGUUUCGCAAAUGAAGAUUCAGGAAGGACUCAUCCCGUGCUUUGUACAAGUGCGUUGGUGACUAAAAAGGCCAAUCCGGGAUAAACAGGUCCGGUUGCAGAAAGCACAGUGGAAAGUCUCCUUGGGUGAUGUUUCUGGGUUGCGGAUCUAUACUCCACAUAACCUGACUGAGAAAGAACACAAGGUGCUGCAAGAUCCCUCUGCAUACUGAUGUUCCAGACUAACAUGGCUAUGUCACUGAAUUUUAUAGUAUCUCAAAGUUGUUACUUGCAAAAAUGUUGACUCUGGCU